AUGAAAGUCGACAAGAAAGGAUUCAAGGAGAAUUUCGACAAGAGUGAAAGAAAAGAAAAACAAGACUAAAAAGGGAGAUCAGAGAAUUUCGGCAAUGUGCAAGGUGACACAAAAAAAUCAGAAUUUGGAAUUGGAGAGAGAAAAAAAAAUUCCAAAAAGAGAGAAAAAAAGAAAAUCUAAACUAAAUCAGAUAACCACUCAAUCCCUCAAUCUGCUCCCACACUCUCCCACUACAACUCAAACACCCGAAAACCGUCCACCACUCUCUCUCCCUAUCCAAAAUCCCUUAAUUUUCUCUCCUCACUUCCCACCACACC
Molecule: long non-coding RNA, 317 nt
Filed under: Gossypium raimondii (Peruvian cotton)
Lineage: Eukaryota; Viridiplantae; Streptophyta; Magnoliopsida; Malvales; Malvaceae
Description: long non-coding RNA (GRAI_LNC001367)
Source: RNAcentral